UCCUACGGCGACAUUAACCCGAGCUCUCGACCGUUCGAACCUUCUCGUACUAUCCUUGUCUCUCUCUCUCACUCUCUCUCUCUCUUUCUCUCUCUCUCACUCUCUCUCUCUCUCUAUCUCUAUCUCUCUCUGUCUUUCUUACUGUUCCUCUGUUUCUCUGUCUCUUUCUUUCUCGUUCAUUCGUUCGUUCGUUCGUUCUUCUUGAACAUCACGUGACACGCCAAAAUGACGACGACGGUGCCUUAGUGGAAUUUUUACGAGACGUAAGGAUUCGCGUAUCCUGUGCUCGAUUGCCCGCGACCCAUCAAUUGCAUCGGUCGUUUACGUUCCUACCAUCCAACCGAUUGGUUCUUUGUAACACGGAAAGGAUCCACCGAUCACGAUGGAUUACUUCCGAGAAAGCCAAUGUCGACGAAUCGUGGCCGACGAAGACGACGACGACGACGACGACGACGACGACGACGACGACAACGACACGAAGGAAGAAGAGUAAGGAGGAGAAGGAGAAGGAGGACGAAGAAGGGGAGAAAGAAGAAGAAGAUGACCAAAGGAGGAUACGAAGGAUGAUCACCACGAAAGGAUCACUCGUCCGUGGCAACGACGUUACGAAGAUAUCUUGCGAAUGUUAUAUUAUAAAGACUAUUACCUACGAUCCUUAGGGGCCUCUUCCUACAUACAUACAUACAUACAUACAUACGUACAUAGAUACAUAGAUAUUCUAUCUUACUUUUAUACACGGACAGGAACACACUGUACAUUCUACCCUCACCGAGAAUCGAUUUAACCGUGUAAUUGUAGCAAUCUCGUCGACAACGAACGAUGUCCAAGCCACUCGAAAAUAUUUUCCAUCUCUCCUUCUCUCUUAAUCUUUAUAUCUCCGUCUCUGUCUCUAUCUCUAUUUAUCCUUUUUAUCUUUCCUAGCCUUUUAACUCCUGUCUACUUUUCUCUUAUACUCUGUACUCUUCCGAGUAGAUCAGAGCAGAACAGAGCAGAACAGAGCAGAGCAAAUGUCUUCCUUCUCCCUGUUUCCGCGUAAUUCGCAGAAUCCUAUCCUCCCAACCCCGCCGACGUUACAAUUUCAACGUAGCGUAUGAUGCGGUUUGAAUACAUGACGGAAAGAAGAUACCCUCAGAGCUACUGUUGUCCGUCGUUUUUCUAUUCUACUUACAGAUAAUAAGAAACGAUUAAGACUCUUUGAUUUUGUUGAAAAUUAUCAAUCGCAUGUUGUGGUCUCUUCUUGCUGGUUGUUUUCUCUCGUUGUUAAGAAAAAAAAAAAAGAAAAAAACGAAAAAAAUUAAAAGAAA
Long non-coding RNA from Vespa mandarinia (Asian giant hornet), 1304 nucleotides. Lineage: Eukaryota; Metazoa; Arthropoda; Insecta; Hymenoptera; Vespidae. The record is from RefSeq and is a predicted model, not a curated record.